This 1017-nucleotide ribosomal RNA is filed under the name uncultured bacterium. RNAcentral's name for it is "bacterial SSU rRNA". It matches the Rfam family "Bacterial small subunit ribosomal RNA", at positions 356 to 1376 of the family's 1533-position model. The record is from RNAcentral.
GGGGAAUAUUGGUCAAUGGGCGAGAGCCUGAACCAGCCAAGUAGCGUGAAGGAUGACUGCCCUAUGGGUUGUAAACUUCUUUUAUAAAGGAAUAAAGUCGGGUAUGUAUACCCGUUUGCAUGUACUUUAUGAAUAAGGAUCGGCUAACUCCGUGCCAGCAGCCGCGGUAAUACGGAGGAUCCGAGCGUUAUCCGGAUUUAUUGGGUUUAAAGGGAGCGUAGAUGGAUAUUUAAGUCAGUUGUGAAAGUUUGCGGCUCAACCGUAAAAUUGCAGUUGAUACUGGAUAUCUUGAGUGCAGUUGAGGCAGGCGGAAUUCGUGGUGUAGCGGUGAAAUGCUUAGAUAUCACGAAGAACUCCGAUUGCGAAGGCAGCCUGCUAAGCUGCAACUGACAUUGAGGCUCGAAAGUGUGGGUAUCAAACAGGAUUAGAUACCCUGGUAGUCCACACGGUAAACGAUGAAUACUCGCUGUUUGCGAUAUACGGCAAGCGGCCAAGCGAAAGCGUUAAGUAUUCCACCUGGGGAGUACGCCGGCAACGGUGAAACUCAAAGGAAUUGACGGGGGCCCGCACAAGCGGAGGAACAUGUGGUUUAAUUCGAUGAUACGCGAGGAACCUUACCCGGGCUUAAAUUGCAGAUGAAUUACGGUGAAAGCCGUAAGCCGCAAGGCAUCUGUGAAGGUGCUGCAUGGUUGUCGUCAGCUCGUGCCGUGAGGUGUCGGCUUAAGUGCCAUAACGAGCGCAACCCUUGUUGUCAGUUACUAACAGGUUUUGCUGAGGACUCUGACAAGACUGCCAUCGUAAGAUGUGAGGAAGGUGGGGAUGACGUCAAAUCAGCACGGCCCUUACGUCCGGGGCUACACACGUGUUACAAUGGGGGGUACAGAGGGCCGCUACCACGCGAGUGGAUGCCAAUCCCCAAAACCUCUCUCAGUUCGGACUGGAGUCUGCAACCCGACUCCACGAAGCUGGAUUCGCUAGUAAUCGCGCAUCAGCCACGGCGCGGUGAAUACGUUCCCG